Molecule: long non-coding RNA, 3229 nt
Filed under: Salmo salar (Atlantic salmon)
Lineage: Eukaryota; Metazoa; Chordata; Actinopteri; Salmoniformes; Salmonidae
Description: lncRNA (ENSSSAG00000099300.1)
Source: RNAcentral
GCAGUAGCUAUGCCUAGAGUAUAGACUAGCAAGCAAACAUGGAGCAAGACAGAAAAGUCAGAAAAUGCAAUAUAAUACAUAAACUAAUUCAAUGGUAAGAACAUUUGGGAGUAGUUUGAACCAGCCUCAAAUGAAAUAAAUUACGUUUAAUUAAAUAUUUGUGGAUAGGUGCAGUGAAAUGUGUUGUUUUACAGAUAGGUGCAGUGAAAUGUGUUGUUUUACAGAUAGGUGCAGUGAAAUGUGUUUUACAGAUAGGUGCAGUGAAAUGUGUUGUUUUACAGAUAGGUGCAGUGAAAUGUGUUGUAUUACAGAGAGGUGCAGUGAAAUGUGUUGUUUUACAAAUAGGUGCAGUGAAAUGUGUUGUUUUACAGAUAGGUGCAGUGAAAUGUGUUGUUUUACAGAUAGGUGCAGUGAAAUGUGUUGUAUUACAGAUAGGUGCAGUGAAAUGUGUUGUAUUACAGAUAGGUGCAGUGAAAUGUGUUGUUUUACAGAUAGGUGCAGUGAAAUGUGUUGUUUUACAGAUAGGUGCAGUGAAAUGUGUUGUAUUACAGAUAGGUGCAGUGAAAUGUGUUGUAUUACAGAUAGGUGCAGUGAAAUGUGUUGUUUUACAGAUAGGUGCAGUGAAAUGUGUUGUUUUACAGGGUCAGCCAUUGUAGUACAGCACCCCUGGAUCAAUUUAAGGUUAAGUGCCUUGCUCAAGUACACAUCGACACAUUUUUCACCUUGUCGGCUCGGAUAUUCGAACCAGCCACCUUUUGGUUACUGGCUUAACGCUCUGCUACCUUCUGCCCUGAAGAAUGUCACAACUCUGAUAUGCUUCCACUGAUUUAUUGAAAUGCACAAACAGCAAAAGUUUAGAUCCCCCAUUGGGAUCUUUCGCGGUUCCUCAGCUCAUCGACAUUUUGUGAUGCCUAACUGCCCUUUUAUGGAUUGAAGUGAAUUUGUUUUAGGUGAGAUAUUUUCCAGAAUAUCAUAAGUAACAUCACAGUACACAUAUUUUCUAUUAGAGAUCCCAUUUGAAAUUCCGAUGUAACAGUUGGGGCAAGUUAAUGACAGCACUGCUUCUUUUAAAACAAUACCUUAAGCUAAACACAAACAUUAGUAACCAUAUUCACAGUACAUUCUUGGGCUAGUCAUAGCAGGGGAUUAAUCAGAGAAAACAUUUCAUUCAAAAUAAAAAAUAAAUAAAAAAGAAUGUCAACAUAACAAUAAGCUGUGAUCUGAUUAUUCAAAAUGCCAGAAGUGUCCAUUAACACUGAAGAACUAAACAAACCAGGCCAUGGUGAAUUGGUGAACCAUUCUGUAACAUAACAGUGAAAAACAUCGACAUAAACGAUAGACUGGAUAAUCCAUCAAUACUAGACUGCAUGAUCUCUCAUUCUACUUCAGAGGCAACUGAUACCAAGAGGUGUUUGAAUCUAGUAGGAUAUCUCUAUGCUAUAUUACGUCAUAUUUAAACUCAGUUUUACACAGAUGCCCCAUUGGAAGACCCACCAGGCUUAUGUGAGUAAGACAUAUAUGGUAUCAAAUAGUCCUAAUAAUAUAAGGCCAAGACGGACUGGCCAUGGGGACCCUCUUUGACAAGGGCUGCAAACCACUAAUAUAGACACUGAUAGUGCAGAUUGUGGAUACAUAAGGAUAUAUCUAGAUACAUGAGGACUGUCACUGUACACACAUCCACAGCUACAGGUGAGAGAGGAUGGUGUCUCAUUUCACAUGGUCUCCGCUCCAACUAGUUCGGUUCAUUUUUUCAGGGACAUCUUGCGAAGACCCUUCAUCCGAUACAGCAAGCCGUCGAUGAAGUCCUGCCAGGAAACAGUGGAGAAGAUGUGAGUGAGAGGUGGUUAUACUGUGUACAGGUUAAACAGUCAAUACGUGCAUGCACAACACAGUUUUAGGUGUGUUCAUGGAAACUUAGUGGAAGUAUAUCUCACUUGUUGUGGUUGUAAGAGCCAUUUUGAUAGGGUGUAUGUUUGGGUUUGUUUUGGGCUGUCACUUCUCACCACUAGAGAGCAGUCUCACUGGGGUAAGGGGUUGUGUGGUGGGGUCAGGUCCUGGGGUCGUGUGUAUGAGGGCCCAGGUAAACAAGUAGCAGUCAUGCAUGGGUCAAAGGAAGAGUCACCGUUUUUUACCGCACCUCACAAGAUAAUAAUCAAUCAUUUAGGGGCUGCUUAUAUUUGUCCUUUUACACACUUGUACAAGUGUCAGUGUGUCAUGGAAAUGUGUUUCUUGCAUAUCCCAACUCUCCCUGAGACACCCACAGGGAGUGGGGUCAGGGCCAGGGUCACCAUUGUCCAGCGCCCCUGGAGCAGUUGGGUUUUCACCUUGUCGGCUCUGGAAUUCAAACCACCAACCUUUAGGUUACUGGUCCAACGCUCUAACCUCGAGGCUAUCUGUCUCCCGUUAGAAAGAUUGCCUGUAUCAUUGGAUUAUUCAUUAAACGGUGCCUCACCCAUCAUUAGCUUGUCAAUAACAGUUUCCACAUCCUUCAUGAAUCAUGUAGGUAACUUUGAAAUAGCCAAUACCGCGGUAGUUACUAUAUCAGGCUUUUAAUUUCUCUCAGCUGAAUGUGCAUGGGGCUCAGAGGGAAGCUGCUUAGGGGAGGACGGCUCAUAAAAUGACUGGAAUGGAGUGUAACGGCUAUGAAUGGAGUGAAUGGAAUGGUAUCAAACACGUGUUUGAUACUAUUCCAUUCCGGACAUUAUUAUGAGCCGUCCUCCCAUCAGCAGCCUCCACUGCUAACUACAUUAUCAAAUCCAAAGGGCCUUGCCUCUCAAUACAAUUUGUUUGGUGCUUCCUUACCUCUUUGGGCUUGCCACAGUCUUGAAGAAGGUCCUGUAGAAAUAGAGAUGGGAAACAUGAACCCUUUCACUCUGACUCUUUAUUCAAAAAACAUAAGGUGUUUUUGACAGAUUUAGAACAGGGUUGAAAUAGUUUCAUUUCUCGUUAAAAUAGUGUGAGCGUUUGGUUGAGCCUGUCAAUGCCAGAUGGGCUGAGUUUUGCACUUUGGCGACCGUUCCAAUGCCAGCCAAAUUCAAUUAAGCACAGCUACAGUAUUUGCAGGAAGAUGAAUAGUGUUUGUACCCAGGUCUGAGUAGACCAAGGAUUUUGCGCUCACAUGUAGCUUUGCUCUCUGUUCUGCGUCUGACAGAUCCAGCAACUCAUCCAUGUCAAUUUCUAACUCUGGAAUAUCCUCCUCCUGAAAAAAGGGCAAAACACAAACAAAAAG